Molecule: non-coding RNA, 30 nt
Filed under: Homo sapiens (human)
Lineage: Eukaryota; Metazoa; Chordata; Mammalia; Primates; Hominidae
Source: RNAcentral
CNCCAAGCAAGAUGGCAGCUUCCGAGACGG